RNAcentral lists this ribosomal RNA (500 nucleotides) under uncultured bacterium. RNAcentral's name for it is "partial 16S ribosomal RNA". It matches the Rfam family "Bacterial small subunit ribosomal RNA", at positions 29 to 523 of the family's 1533-position model. The record is from RNAcentral.
AUUGAACGCUGGCGGCAUGCUUUACACAUGCAAGUCGAACGGCAGCACGGGCUUCGGCCUGGUGGCGAGUGGCGAACGGGUGAGUAAUACAUCGGAACGUACCCAGUAGUGGGGGCUAGCCGGGCGAAAGCCGGAUUAAUACCGCAUAUGCCCUGAGGGGGAAAGCGGGGGACCGAAAGGCCUCGCGCUAGUGGAGCGGCCGAUGGCUGAUUAGCUAGGUGGUGGGGUAAAGGCCUCACAAGGCGACGAUCAGUAGCUGGUCUGAGAGGACGACCAGCCACACUGGGACUGAGACACGGCCCAGACUCCUACGGGAGGCAGCAGUGGGGAAUUUUGGACAAUGGGCGAAAGCCUGAUCCAGCAAUGCCGCGUGUGCGAAGAAGGCCUUCGGGUUGUAAAGCACUUUUGUUUGGAAAGAAAAGGUUUGGGUUAAUACCCUGGACUGAUGACGGUACCAAUCGAAUAAGCACCGGCUAACUACGUGCCAGCCGCCGCGGUAA